RNAcentral lists this ribosomal RNA (666 nucleotides) under Lactiplantibacillus pentosus. RNAcentral's name for it is "bacterial SSU rRNA". It matches the Rfam family "Bacterial small subunit ribosomal RNA", at positions 64 to 695 of the family's 1533-position model. Lineage: Bacteria; Bacillati; Bacillota; Bacilli; Lactobacillales; Lactobacillaceae. The record is from RNAcentral.
GAACGAACUCUGGUAUUGAUUGGUGCUUGCAUCAUGAUUUACAUUUGAGUGAGUGGCGAACUGGUGAGUAACACGUGGGAAACCUGCCCAGAAGCGGGGGAUAACACCUGGAAACAGAUGCUAAUACCGCAUAACAACUUGGACCGCAUGGUCCGAGUUUGAAAGAUGGCUUCGGCUAUCACUUUUGGAUGGUCCCGCGGCGUAUUAGCUAGAUGGUGGGGUAACGGCUCACCAUGGCAAUGAUACGUAGCCGACCUGAGAGGGUAAUCGGCCACAUUGGGACUGAGACACGGCCCAAACUCCUACGGGAGGCAGCAGUAGGGAAUCUUCCACAAUGGACGAAAGUCUGAUGGAGCAACGCCGCGUGAGUGAAGAAGGGUUUCGGCUCGUAAAACUCUGUUGUUAAAGAAGAACAUAUCUGAGAGUAACUGUUCAGGUAUUGACGGUAUUUAACCAGAAAGCCACGGCUAACUACGUGCCAGCAGCCGCGGUAAUACGUAGGUGGCAAGCGUUGUCCGGAUUUAUUGGGCGUAAAGCGAGCGCAGGCGGUUUUUUAAGUCUGAUGUGAAAGCCUUCGGCUCAACCGAAGAAGUGCAUCGGAAACUGGGAAACUUGAGUGCAGAAGAGGACAGUGGAACUCCAUGUGUAGCGGUGAAAUGCGUAGAU